GCUUCUAUUCAGAUUGAUGUACAAAAUGCUGUUGCAUAAGCUCAAAACACUGAUGGAGUGCUUAGAAAAUAUGCGGUGUUUAAACAAGUUAAACUGUUCCACGCCUGAUAUCCUUGAAGAAAAGGUUAGCAUUGCCUUGUGCUGAAAAUUCUCAAAUAAUAACGUAGUACUAGUUAAUGGUUAUAGAAAUAAUUACAGUUUUAAUAAUUAAACAGUCUUCAAGCAGCUUGCAUUUGGAUGUUCUUAAUUGUGCUGUAUAAUUAAAAGCAAUUUGUAAACAAAAGAUGUUUCAUAAAGGAAGCUGAACGUACUAAGUAUGCCUUUGGGCUGUAUCUACGCAGUCUCAAAUACAAAAUCCUGGUGGAGCAUUUAGAGAACCUAUGGUUACAGUAACUGUUCUUCACAGCUCAGGCGUUUGACCUUCCUUUUGGUGAAGUGAAUAAAUACCGCUGGUCUCUAUCUGUGCUUCUAGGCACCUUGAAGUUCUUAGGAAAAGAAUAACUGUCUGCAGUUCUUCUUGAUGAUAUAAGUAACAGCUUGAAUGUUGCUGCCCACUAGGUAGACCUAAAGAAGCAGAUUACAGUUAAACACCUGUUAAAUCACCCUUGGCUCAUGCAAGGUUAUUCUGAUGCUGUUCAGUGGCAAAGUAAAUACCCACUGGGGCACCUUGAUGAAGACUGUGUAACAGAACUUCCUGUGUUUCACAACCAGAGCAGAGUAUGUCGGCAUUAAUAUCAGAGGUAAUAAAUGUGGAAUUAUGACCGGAUGUUAGCAACCUAUCUCUUGAUUCAAUCCAGGAAGGUUCGUGGCAAGCGCAUCCACUUAAGAAUUCCAUCACAAACGACGUGCCAGUACAACACAGCCAGCAAGCCAGGGGGUGUCAUUCUGUGGAUUUAGAUCUCAACCUAGCUCAUGUGGAGAGCAGCCAAAAGAAGAGAAAGGCCAAACGACUUGGAAGUCUUCAAAGAGGCCUGGAUAAAGUGAUUACAGUGCUUACAGCAGGCAAAAAAGGAAGUGAUUCAGCAGACAUGGGCCAAGAAAACUUAAGAGUCUUAUGAUGAUCAUACCGGGGAGCUGAAGCAUUUGUCUGUAUGGUUGGAUAUUCUGCAGCUUUCAGCGUGAAAAGGCACACUAUGAUGUUACCAUGACUCAACUACUGAAUCCAGACCAAGUGAUGAAUGAAAUAAUCUCUGUCCUUUCAAAGAUGGGCUACACCCUGAAAUGCCAAACAAAGCCAGAUUUUGGCAAAGAAUCUAUGAAGUUUGAGCUAGAAGCGUGUCAGCUCAGUAAAAAUGAAGCAGUUGGUAUCAGAAGACAGAGGCUCAGAGGGAAUGCGGGGGUCUACAAGAGACUGGUGGAAGACGUUUUAUCCAGCUGCCAAGUGUGACUGCUGCUCAGAAAGCCACAAUGCUGUGCUGAGACUUUGAUCAUUAUUUUAGAAAAAUCACUUUGGAAAUGUAAUUUGUGAUCUCCUUCACAGCUGUAUUUCAGAAAUCUUGUCAGCUAUUACAGUUUUAACCACCCCCUUUGCGUAUAUGCCCACUGCAUGUUUCCUUUUCUUACAAAAACUGUCAACUUUUCCUACACGUUCUGCAGAUGUAGCUCGACUGAAAUAAAAUUCCUUAAACUAC
This is a long non-coding RNA of Lagopus muta (rock ptarmigan), 1631 nucleotides long. RefSeq lists it as uncharacterized. The record is from RefSeq and is a predicted model, not a curated record. The transcript has 7 exons. NCBI's taxonomy places the organism in Eukaryota, Metazoa, Chordata, Aves, Galliformes, Phasianidae.